AUGCAAGUCGAGGGGGAUUAUCGGUGUAGCAAUACACUGGUAUGAGACCGGCAAACGGGUGCGGAACACGUACGCAACCUUCCCAAAACUGGUGAAUAGCCCUCCGAAAGGAGGAUUAAUGCACCGUAACAUAAUGGAGUGGCAUCACUUUAUUAUUAUAGCUCCGGCGGUUUUGGAUGGGCGUGCGCCUGAUUAGGUAGUUGGCGGGGUAACGGCCCACCAAGCCUUCGAUCAGUAACUGGUGUGAGAGCACGACCAGUCACACGGGCACUGAGACACGGGCCCGACUCCUACGGGAGGCAGCAGUAAGGAAUAUUGGUCAAUGGACGCAAGUCUGAACCAGCCAUGCCGCGUGAAGGAUGACGGCCCUCUGGGUUGUAAACUUCUUUUAUCUGGGACGAAAAAGGGCUUUCUAGCUCGACUGACGGUACCAGAGGAAUAAGCACCGGCUAACUCCGUGCCAGCAGCCGCGGUAAUACGGAGGGUGCGAGCGUUAUCCGGAUUUACUGGGUUUAAAGGGUGCGUAGGUGGGUCUGUAAGUCAGUGGUGAAAUCUCCGAGCUUAACUCGGAAACUGCCAUUGAUACUAUAGGUCUUGAAUUAUCUGGAGGUAAGCGGAAUAUGUCAUGUAGCGGUGAAAUGCUUAGAUAUGACAUAGAACACCAAUUGCGAAGGCAGCUUACUACGGAUUGAUUGACACUGAGGCACGAAAGCGUGGGGAUCAAACAGGAUUAGAUACCCUGGUAGUCCACGCCCUAAACGAUGGAUACUCGACAUUUGCGAUAUACUGUAAGUGUCUGAGCGAAAGCAUUAAGUAUCCCACCUGGGAAGUACGAUCGCAAGAUUGAAACUCAAAGGAAUUGACGG
This 866-nucleotide ribosomal RNA is filed under the name uncultured bacterium. Its description in RNAcentral is "bacterial SSU rRNA". It matches the Rfam family "Bacterial small subunit ribosomal RNA", at positions 55 to 916 of the family's 1533-position model. The record is from RNAcentral.